GCUGCAUAAGUUAUGGAAGUUUGAUCCUUCCGUGGUGACACUUAUCGAAGCCUUUGCAGCCUCGCAAGAGGUUGAUAUCAGCGACUAUAAAGAAUUGACAUCGCAUGCAAGUCGGCUAUGCCGGCGACACUUUCGAACUGACGGGGACACCCUAAAGCCGGCCACACCAACCCGCAGGUGGAAACAUCGCGGGGGCCCAUGCCAACCACAUGGGAAGGUAAUAGAUGACACGGAUAAUUCUGCUCUCGCA
This 250-nucleotide unclassified non-coding RNA is filed under the name plant metagenome. Its description in RNAcentral is "partial contains small subunit ribosomal RNA, internal transcribed spacer 1, and 5.8S ribosomal RNA". The record is from RNAcentral.